RNAcentral lists this ribosomal RNA (255 nucleotides) under uncultured bacterium. Its description in RNAcentral is "partial 16S ribosomal RNA". It matches the Rfam family "Bacterial small subunit ribosomal RNA", at positions 524 to 776 of the family's 1533-position model. The record is from RNAcentral.
UACGUAGGGGGCGAGCGUUGUCCGGAUUCAUUGGGCGGAAAGAGCUCGUAGGCGGCUUGAUAAGUCGGGUGUGAAACCUCCAGGCUCAACCUGGAGUCGCCACUCGAUACUGUCAUGGCUAGAGUCCGGUAGGGGACCACGGAAUUCCUGGUGUAGCGGUGAAAUGCGCAGAUAUCAGGAGGAACACCGGUGGCGACGGCGGCAUCCUGGACCAACACUGACGCUGAGUGAGCGAAAGCCAGGGGAGCAAACGGG